Molecule: long non-coding RNA, 4517 nt
Organism: Cottoperca gobio
Lineage: Eukaryota; Metazoa; Chordata; Actinopteri; Perciformes; Bovichtidae
Source: Ensembl
CAAAGUCCACAUUUUGUUCACAGUAAUUGUAAUUAUUAAGUAAUUGCUCUUAUUCUGAAAAACUAAGCGGAAGUGUAGUCAGAGCUGUGAGGUAAACAAACGACGCUGCAUCCCUUGAUGUGUUCACAUAAAUGUUACUCGUGUUCAAGCAUUUUUGUUUGGACAAAUCAUGUAUUUUUAUGUAGAUACAUUUUUUUAGCGUCUUCAUUUUGCUGUUGUCAGUUCUACGAGUAAUUCCGGAAUUUCUCAGCUAAUCCUGCUAACAACAGUUUAGCUUACUGCUAGCUAAUCAACGCAGUUAGCUCGUUCUCUUCAUACAUCCACGAGUUAGCUCAAGACUUAAAGAAAGUGUACACCACACGGCUGAGAUACAUUUGGUCGACGUGCACAUGACUACAACGAUUUAGUUAUAGCUGGCCGUCCCCUGCUGCCCUGUCUCCAAGGAAAUAAAAGACUCCAAACGACAAACUCUGAUGGUGUUGGAGGAUGAUGGAUAACCACAAGAGCCACUUACCCUGUCAGUCGUGGGCGAGCCAGAAUGGCUGGUCUACUACUUCAACUCAAGGACCCCACGUCAACCCUCUCCCCAGCUCUCAGCAUCUCAGCCUGGGCUCGUCUUCUGACCAGAGACCCUCCUACGAACACCUGCAGGAGUCCAAUCAGAGCUGUAUGAGCGACCUCGGCACCUUAUCCUCAAGAAAUACCCCUCAUCACUCUGAUCUGUACAAAGCCUCGCACAUCAGCAUCAAUCCGUCAUCAAAUACGCUGUUUGCCAACGCUGCCAUCCCGGGUUCCUCUCACAUCAUUUCCUUUUCCCAGCAAAGCCCUCACACUUCAUCGUUGCUACUAACUGCAAACCAAGGAAAAAACAUUCCCCCACUAUCUCUUCCCCAAAUAAACCAAUCUCCACAGCCUUGUAGGCCCCAACAUCCACCACUUCUCUCACCGCACAACCUUUACAAAGCCCCAUUUCAACCUCCAUUAACCAAUCAGGGUUUACCAAAUGGACUUCUGCCCAUUAGUACAUCUCAAUCUACUUUUGAAGGAGUGAAUGUGGAGUUUGUUGGUGUCGCUGGAUACACUCACAGCCAUGCCUCAUCCAUGUCUCAGGAGCAGUGGAUACCUUCACCAAACUGCAUGGUCGCCGUAAACGAGUCUGUCCCUGAUGCAGCUGCUCAUCCUAAAAACGCACCAUCGCAAGAGGGGAGCAUUAGUUCACCGGCCAGCAAUGAGAGACAACGUUUGGUGCUUUUACAUCAGCGCGCACAACUACUUCAACAAGUGGCAGAGUUGGAUAAACUUCUGGAAUCCAUACAGCCAGAGGACAGCAGCGGUGGGCCGUCUCCACACACAGCUAUGCAGUCUCCCCCAUCAAUGGAUGAUUCAUCUCAAGGUGAACAAACUGAGACUGCACAGCAGGUUCAGCUGCCUGCAGGAACGUCUAAGUCACAUCUGUCAUCGGAGUGUUCGUCACCUGCAUCCUAUGAUGAACACAGCGAGGCCUGUGAUACACCAGAGGGUCCAAUGUCACCAAAUGUCAAAUUAGAGAAAAUAGAAAAUGCCUCAGCGGAGUCGGAGGAUGAAAGUGACCCUGAUUACUCGCCCAACAGUGAUGGGGACUUCUCUGACUGCCUCUCUCACCCUGACGUGGGCUCUUCAGAUGAAUCCAGUCACAGCAGACCCUCAACCCCCACAAACGAAAAACCUUCUCUGCCAGAAAGAAAAGAAGCUAGAUCAGGAAGUUCUAUGUUCAAGGACAAAACUGUCCCUCCUCCAAAACAGAUUCAUGCAGCUAAUCUGAAAAUUAAUACGGUAGUGUUGCCAUGUUCAAAUUCUAAAGCACGCCGCGUUUAUGACCGGAGGAAUUAUUGUUUAUUUUGCUCUAAGCCAGUAUCCAAAAUGUCACGACACCUUGAGAGGAUCCACAGUGACAAAACAGAAGUGGCAGCUGUAUUCCAGUAUCCCAUCAAAUCCAAAGAAAGAAUGAAAUUAUGGAACAGACUCAUAAAUCAAGGAAACUUUGCUCAUAAUAAAGAUGUCUUGAAAACAGGAAAGGGCCAACUUGCUGUCCGCAAAAGGCCGAGCAAAACUCGUAAAGCCCAAGACUUUCUUCAUUGUCUUCACUGUCGAGGUCUUUUUAUGAAGAAGGCUUUGCACAGACACAUGAAGUUUUGCCCGGAGAAAGUGAAGAAUGAGGACGAGUUCGGAAGAAAGAAUAUCGCAUCUCGGUGUGUCCUUGAAACUUUAGGAGACCUUGGCAUUAGUGACGGUUUCAAGAGCAUUCUGUCCGAGAUGAUAUACGACGAUGUGACGCAAGCCGUCAUGGAAGACGACGUCAUCUUGCAGUUUGGCGAGCUCCUGUUAAGUCAGAACGGAUCUGAUCCGAAGAAGCAUGACUAUAUAAGACAAAACCUCCGUCAGAUAGCAAGACUUGUACUCGAAGCGAAAAAAAUAACCCCUCUGGAGAAACUGGAGGACUUCUUUCUCCCUUCGAGCUUCCCACAUGUGGUGUCUGCAGUGAACGUGCUGGCAGGCUACAAUGCAGAAAACCAAAUGUACAGCAUUCCUUCACUUGCCAUCAAGCUUGGCUACCACCUACAGAAGACCUGUGGUAUCGUCGAGGGCAACGCAGUGAAGUGUGGGGACGCAAGUUUGGCAGAGUCGGCGCGAAACUUCCUCUCUGUGUACCAGAAAAAGUGGAACAAGCUCAUUUCUGCGGGUGCAUUAACAACACUCAGGAAAACAAAACUGAAAACAGCGAAGAAGGUGCCGUUUGCUCAAGAUGUGAAGCGCCUGAAUUUCCACAUGGAGAACGUUCAUCUUCUUACUGAAAAAACCCUCCGAGACAGCCCUUCUCCAGAGAACUAUGCCGCUCUGGCCAAGGUGAUACUCUCUCGGACAAUAUUUUUCAACAGGAGAAAUGUGCGAGAGGUAUCGUCGGUGGAAAUAAGCGAUUUCAUGUCCCGGAAAAAGUCAAAGCUGCAUGAUGGCAUGGACAUAUCCGUCUCAGAUUUUGAAAAGAAAAUGUGCGGGUCCUUCGCUAGAGUUGACAUACGAGGGAAGUGUGGGAGAACGGUCCCCGUUUUACUGAAACCGUCAUUCGAGACGGCUAUGGAGCUUCUCAUAAAGGUGCGCGAGACAUGUGGCGUGCCCAGUAAGAAUCCCUACCUGUUUGGCCGACCACAUGCACUGUCGGCCUACGCUGGGGCAGAGUGCAUCCAGAAAUAUGUCAAAGAGUGUGGCGCUGCAGACCCUGAAACGCUGACAUCCUCAAAAAUCCGGAAGCAUUACGGAACAAUGCUACAGCUGAUCAACCUGGAUGAAAAUGAGGCCGACCAAAUUUUAGGCCCUAAUAAUGAAGUCCGAAGCCUGCGACAGGACAGCAGCAUGCAGCUGGAUGAUGUUGAAAUGGACUCUGGUGAGAGAGGACCACAAGCUGCGUCAUGGGAUCAAAAAGAGUUUUCCGGUGCACGCCAUGGACAAUCGCAUGGAGCACCAACGAGCGCCAACAUGACUGUAACUCCAAAUCCGAUCAAACCGGGCAAAAAAGGCUCAAAUCAGGGCAAACAUAAAUGGGAGGAAGCAGAGGUUCUUGCUGUUGAAAGACACAUGAUGUGUUUAAUUCAAGGACACAAGGUGCCUCAGAAAAACGACUGCAUUCAGUGUCUUGAGGCUGAGCCAGAAGCUCUGAGGACCCGUUCAUGGAAAGGUGUGAAGGACUACGUCAGAAACAGGAUUACUGCCCUAAAAAGGCAAAGUGGAACUUCUGCAUCCACAAACAGUAACAUGUCUGGGCAAAUAGAACCACAGCAGAGUAACGGACAUUUUCAUCAGUUAUAGGAGGGAUAUUUUGUCAAUUGCAAAUCUUCCAUUUGUUCGUCCUUCAGCACCCUCUGUUCCUCUUGUUUAAUUUGUUCAGUCUCCAUAUGCGUGUUAUGUGACAUUGUGAGCGUUUACAUCCAUUAGGAUGGCCAAGAAUACAUUUUAUAUUUCAACAUUUUUAUUUUUUGUGGAUUAUGAUUCUCUUACUUUAUAUGACUACAGAAUGUCACUGUGGUUUUGUUUCAUUUUAUAAAGUUUAUUUGUACAGACGGCUCAUGCGCACUGACGAAAAAUGUGUGUAAUUGGCUAGUUACUAAGCUAACUUUGGUGAGCAAGUUAUCUGGUAUAGUGUAUUUAGUUCUUCUCUUUGGUAUACUAUAUUUUGUUCGACUUUGUAUAACAACUUGCGACCAAUAAACUACAGUGUGAACAAAAACACAAGUAUUGCACUCAUAAAAUGCUGGACAUAUUGUAUUUCAUUGAUUUGUGCCAGGCCAACUGUAUCUUUGUCCUUGUAUGUAUGAAUGACAAUCGUAUAGGCAGUGGUAGAAGAAGUAUUCAGAUAUUUUAAACGUGUGGCUGUAGAGGCAAAGUCAGCACAUUCAAAAUGUGUAAAAGUUGAGAAGUAUUAGAGACACAUUUUACUUAAAAUAUCAAAAUUAAGAGCACUCAUUAGGAAGCUGAAUCUCCCGUUA